Molecule: transfer RNA, 86 nt
Filed under: Felis catus (domestic cat)
Lineage: Eukaryota; Metazoa; Chordata; Mammalia; Carnivora; Felidae
Also listed under: 4 other names
Rfam family: tRNA
About the family: Transfer RNA (tRNA) molecules are approximately 80 nucleotides in length. Their secondary structure includes four short double-helical elements and three loops (D, anti-codon, and T loops). Further hydrogen bonds mediate the characteristic L-shaped molecular structure. tRNAs have two regions of fundamental functional importance: the anti-codon, which is responsible for specific mRNA codon recognition, and the 3' end, to which the tRNAs corresponding amino acid is attached (by aminoacyl-tRNA synthetases). tRNAs cope with the degeneracy of the genetic code in two manners: having more than one tRNA (with a specific anti-codon) for a particular amino acid; and 'wobble' base-pairing, i.e. permitting non-standard base-pairing at the 3rd anti-codon position.
Source: Rfam by way of RNAcentral
GCCUGAGUGGCUCAGUUAGUUAAGCAUCUGACUUCAGCUCAGGUCAUGAUCUUGCAGUUCUGUGAGUUCGAGCCCCACGUCAGGCU